Molecule: RNase P RNA, 397 nt
Filed under: Opitutales bacterium
Lineage: Bacteria; Pseudomonadati; Verrucomicrobiota; Opitutia; Opitutales
Description: RNase P RNA component class A
Rfam family: Bacterial RNase P class A
About the family: Ribonuclease P (RNase P) is a ubiquitous endoribonuclease, found in archaea, bacteria and eukarya as well as chloroplasts and mitochondria. Its best characterised activity is the generation of mature 5'-ends of tRNAs by cleaving the 5'-leader elements of precursor-tRNAs. Cellular RNase Ps are ribonucleoproteins.
Source: RNAcentral
UUCGAGGUGCGCGCAUUCGCUCGCGGGAACGCAAGUUUUCGCGAGAGGAAAGUCCGGACACCGCAGGGCAGGAUUCCCCGUGAAAACGGGGGCGGCGUGUCGCAAGGCACGUCGACGGACAGUGUCACAGAAAACAGACCGCCCGUGCGGCAACGUGCGGGUAAGGGUGAAACGGCGAGGUAAGAGCUCACCGCUCCGACGGCGACGAAGGAGGCAGGACAAACCCAAUCCGGUGCAAGACAAAAUAGGCGAGCGGGCGGCCCGUCCGAUGCUCGCGGGUAUGUCGCACCGCCGUAAGGCGGGAGGCGCGGCAACGCGCUUCAGAGGAAUGAAUGCGAACGCGGGAACGCGAAAGCUCCCCGCGCUACGGAAUCCGGCUUACAGCACCUCGAAGGCU